This 354-nucleotide ribosomal RNA is filed under the name grassland soil bacterium TSA-2. RNAcentral's name for it is "bacterial SSU rRNA". It matches the Rfam family "Bacterial small subunit ribosomal RNA", at positions 143 to 494 of the family's 1533-position model. The record is from RNAcentral.
AUAACGUAGGGAAACUUACGCUAAUACCGCAUACGUCCUACGGGAGAAAGCGGGGGAUCUUCGGACCUCGCGCGGUUGGAUGGACCGAUGUGCGAUUAGCUUGUUGGUGAGGUAACGGCUCACCAAGGCGACGAUCGCUAGCUGGUCUGAGAGGAUGAUCAGCCACACUGGGACUGAGACACGGCCCAGACUCCUACGGGAGGCAGCAGUGGGGAAUAUUGGACAAUGGGCGCAAGCCUGAUCCGCAAUGCCGCGUGUGUGAAGAAGGCCUUCGGGUUGUAAAGCACUUUUAUCAGGAGCGAAAUCUGCAGGCUAAUACCCAUGCAGUCUGACGGUACCUGACCAAUAAGCACC